AUGACUCCCUCACCCUGGCUAGGGUUCCUAGCCCCUCCUCCUCAGCCGCCGCUGCAUGUUCCUCGCUGGCCUCGCCCGGGCGCCUCCCGGACCUCGCCGGGAGAAGCCAGCCAGCGCCGUUCCGACCUCCUCCUUAAGCCCCUCCCCCAUCUCAUCUCCUCUCCGGUCGCUGCAGAGGAGCCCCGUUUCGCGCCACCACCAUGGUUGCCUGCAGAGAGCAGCAGAGGACCUAGCCCUCGCGUCCGACCGCAACCGCCGCCUGAAACCCUAGCCCCUCCUUCCAACUGCAGGUCAAGCCAGCAGGAUCCCCUCCAAGAAGAGCAUUUGAUGCGUGAGUGCAUCCCCUUCUCUUCUUCUUCUUCUUCUUCUUCUUCUCGAUUUGAUGUGUGUGUGCGUGCUGUUGUGUGCAGGCCCGACUCAUCUCUGCUUGUGCACAACAAGGAAGGCCAUGGACCGCGAACCUGCUCGACCUGCUCGACCUCCUCCUCACGCCGCCUCGGCCUCCCGGCCCUUGUCGCCGUUGGUCGCCCUCCACGGGUUCUGACGUGCCGUCGCCAACCGCCAGAGAUGCCACCUCCUCAACGCACGAUAUAA
Molecule: ribosomal RNA, 594 nt
Filed under: Triticum aestivum (bread wheat)
Lineage: Eukaryota; Viridiplantae; Streptophyta; Magnoliopsida; Poales; Poaceae
Description: partial small subunit ribosomal RNA
Source: RNAcentral